ACAUGGAUUUUAUAUUCCAGGGAUACCUAGGCGGGCUGUGGAAGAGAUAACGAGUUUUCGCGCCUUUUUGAAACUAUUUCCGGGAUUGCAACAGCUGUUGGAAGCAGCGCUCGAUUCACAGACACACUGGGAAUUGCGUGAACCAAGGAGAUUUUCUCUCAUUCCUGCAGACGAGGGAGACAGUUUCUCGAUCUCAACCUGGACUGGAACAGAGACCAUCUCACACUUGCAUAAAGGAAAUAGGUGCAUGACACAUCAUGGAUCUCUCAGAGACAGUAAACAUCAACAUCUUCAAACUUGCUUCAGUCUUCCAUGUAAUUUUGGUGUGCAGAGGGGCUUUGUAUGCCAGACCCGGUAUUGUCACUAAUGCUGCUGCAGGACAAACCGUGAUGUUCCCCAUAGAGUACCAAAGCAAUGAAGAUCAGUACGAUGUUACCUUUAGAUCAACAUUUCCACAGCUCUUUAAAAUUUUAAUAUGGAAAUCCAAUAAUCCAGACAAUCUGCAUAUUGUACAUCCACAAUAUAAACACAGAGCUACAAUCAAAAAUGGAUCGGUGGUGUUAUAUGAUAUACAAGUCAGCGACAGUGGAGAGUAUCAAAUACGAACUGACUACUAUGGGGUAGAACUGAAAAACCAUGAUCAAAGUUCUUUCACGAUUCAAGUCUUUGAACCAGUUUCUCAACCUGUAGCAAAGACCUUAAGUCAUGGUCAGAAUACAGCAAAUAUCACUUUGAAUUGCUCCGUCUCCAAUGGAAAUGCAGUCAUGAUUUACUGGGAAAAAAUUUCCUUAUCUGGAGUCAUCAUCGAGACGUAUAUGACCACAAUUCUUGUGAUAGACUGUACUACUGAAGAUGAACAACAUGAGUACAGGUGCAUUGCAAAAAAUCCCAUCAGUAAUGCAUCCAGCAGUGAGAUAUCUAUCAACUCGUGUAACACCAGAAAUCUGAACGGAGUUAGUACAUUCUUCCCGUGACCGUGUGGGUUUCCUUAGUGCUCCGGUUUCCUCCCGCAUUCCAAAGAUGUACAUUUAUGGAUUGUGAGUUGUGGACUUGAUACAUUGACACUUGUGGGCUGCCCAGCACAAUCUUCGCAGAUUUGAUUUGGCCCAGACGACACAUCUCACUACGUUUCAGUAUAAAAGGAAUUAUCUUAUGAUCCUGAUUCCUUUGGUGAUGAUGGCAAUUUCAUUGUUUGCAUUUGCAAAAUACAUCUCUAAUUGAUGUUCGAAUGACCAGUCCUAAUGCUCGAUGAUCGUCUCCAAGAAUUACCUGGAAACACUCACAUUCCUGCACAAAAUUCGGCAGCCUUUACUGGAGUACUACAGACCAUACUUGCGAAUGACAGCUCAUUUCUCUAUAGCAUCUCUGGCUUACCACAAGCAUGACCAACUGGUAGCUGAUCCAAACAACAAAUUCCCAAGGCUUAAACUUGCAAGGAAACCAGGACACCUCAUAACACCUGAGUAUAGGUUGGAGGUGACAUGACCACCUGCUCAUGGAAUAUGAAAAAUUGUGUUGUUUCUGACAGUGGUCACCCAAACACUGCACUCCUGCCCUCCGAGUUUCAUUUCUGUGAGCAUCCCUGCUAUAUACAUGGCCUCCUCUGUAUCUAUUACAGUUAAAAACAUAAGAAAUAGGAGCAGGAGUAGGCCAUCUGGCCCGUCGAGCAUGCUCCCCCAUUCAAUAUGAUCAUGGAUGAUCUGGCCAUGGACUCAUCUCCAUCUACCUUCCUUUUCCCCUUAACCCUUAAUUCCCCUACUAUGCAAAUAUAUAUCCAACCUUGUCUUAAACAUAUUUACUGAGGUAGACUCCAUUGCUUCAUUGGGCAGAGAAUUCCACAGAUUCACCAAUCUCUGGGAAAAGCAGUUCCUCCUCACCUGCAUCCUAACUCUAUUCCCCCGUAUCUUGAGGCUAUGUCCCCUAGUUGUGUAUUUCAGAAAAGAAAAAUGGGUCAUAGAUCCUUGCAAACAGAACAGCUGAUAUGGAAAAUCAUUACACAGAAGACCAAUUACACACCAUUUUUUUUAAAGUUUCAUAUUUUCCACAACAAAUCUAACAGCAAUAAAAAUUUGACAUUGAAGUUCAAUGCAUUGGCACAUUUUGAAAGCCAUGUAGGACCCAACCUGCUUCCUAUACUUGAUCUCAUGUCACUUUACUUGUUGCAGUUCUGAACUUUCACGAACCUCAGCACUUCAAUUCCAUGGUUGUUUCACAAUCAAACUGAAAUGUGAGUGGUGUCCAGAUUAGUAGUAAGUACGCUGAUGUCCUGACCCUGACACUCAAAGGCGGCUCCAGCUGUUUCAUUGUUCUUCAAUAUGUUGGAUAAUGAGAUAUAUUCCAAACAACACUGGCAAAGAAAUGAUUCAUUUUGAACUGAUAAAUGCUUAAAACAAACUACUUUUAAUUAUGUUCGAACAAAAAUAAUUUUACCUCUACUUUAGUUGAGGUGGGCAAUGUAAUUGACAAAUCUGACCGUAAUAAAUGUAGAGCUUUAAGAUAAUUACAGGUUAGAUGUAGCACCUUCACUGCCGUAUAUGUUAUUGUAGAAUCUAUUUUUGGGAAAUCAAUUUCAUGAACCUAAUCAAUUACAUUCACUGGAGUAGAUGGAAACUGAUAAAGUGGAGAAAAUCUGCUGCUGCUGGAAAUCUGAACAACACACACAAAGUGCUGGAGGAUCUCAGCAGACCAGGCAGCAUCUAUGGAAAAAAGUACAGUCGACAUUUCGGGCUGAAAUUGAUAAAUGUUUUCCAAUGCCAGGGAACAGUUUUACAGAAUUGAAAGAAAAGCAGAAAACAGAAUGUCAAACAUUGAAAGGGCCAGACAACAUUUUUGUAGAGGGUGGAAUCUGUGGGAAAGGAGAUUUGGAGAGUUUCAACCAAGAGGCUUUGUGGUUGCCUUUCCUUGAUGCCUGUGGUGAAAGGGAGAGCAGUGACAAAGUCAAUAUUCCAGAGACAGUCAUGCAGUCAAUCCCUCCCCCACAAACAACUCCCAAAUGAUCAGGCAACACUGGCAGAGGUGAACUUUGACCUGUAUAGGUUUGUUUUCUAAUUGGACGAGAGGUUUGACUGUCAGUGCAAGGCCAUAGCUCCCAUAAUGGUUGGUUUAGCGCCAGUUUAUGCUCAGAACUCACAGAUGAGGGGAUUGUGAGCUGGGAGCUCCAGGCUAGACCAUGGUCUGCUCAUGUUUAAGCACAGUCUAUGAGCGCACAGGAACAGACCUGCCCAGGACAAUCACGGCAUGUUGGCCAGCAUCCCACAGAACGUAGAGAACAGCACAAACACAAGAAAUACUUUGUCUUCAGUGAGUAUUUUGUAUGGACAAAGGUAAUAACUACAUAAUAAAAUCAAAACUUUGGAUUUCUAUGGUUACACAUGACAAUAAAAAACAGACAACAAUGGUUCAUUGAUUUUUUUUUUGCUUCAUUGCAAGCUCCAUGAAUUAAUUUACAACGCCAGAGGAUAAAGUGCAAGGAAUAAAAUCCCUUAGAAGUGGAGCAGAGAUAAAAAGCACCCGCAUCUCAAAAGCCUCACCCAGUCACAAAGGAAGUAAACAGUUUGGUGGGAAUACUGACUAAAUCAGAUA
This is an RNA transcript of Mobula hypostoma (lesser devil ray), 3582 nucleotides long. It is a transcript of the gene named SLAM family member 5-like, with no coding region annotated. The transcript is spliced from 7 exons. The record is from RefSeq and is a predicted model, not a curated record. NCBI's taxonomy places the organism in Eukaryota, Metazoa, Chordata, Chondrichthyes, Myliobatiformes, Myliobatidae.